Molecule: long non-coding RNA, 1045 nt
Organism: Oncorhynchus tshawytscha (Chinook salmon)
Lineage: Eukaryota; Metazoa; Chordata; Actinopteri; Salmoniformes; Salmonidae
Source: Ensembl
CAGAGAACCACUGCUGUAUAGGCUGAGGGAUGUCAGUCCCAGUAAGGACAGGGAUUAGGCAGGUUAGGCAGGAGCCAGAGAACCACUGCUGUAUAGGCUGAGGGAGAUGCUGCAGGGGACGUCAGUCCCAGUUAGGACAGGGAUUAGGCAGGUUAGGCAGGAGCCAGAGAACCACUGCUGUAUAGGCUGAGGGAGAUGCUGCAGGGGAUGUCAGUCCCAGUUAGGACAGGGAUUAGGCAGGUUAGGCAGGAGCCAGAGAACCACUGCUGUAUAGGCUGAGGGAGAUGCUGCACGGGACGUCAGUCCCAGUUAGGACAGGGAUUAGGCAGGUUAGGCAGGAGCCAGAGAACCACUGCUGUAUAGGCUGAGGGAGAUGCUGCAGGGGAUGUCAGUCCCAGUAAGGACAGGGAUUAGGCAGGUUAGGCAGGAGCCAGAGAACCACUGCUGUAUAGGCUGAGGGAGAUGCUGCAGGGGACGUCAGUCCCAGUAAGGACAGGGAUUAGGCAGGUUAGGCAGGAGCCAGAGAACCACUGCUCUAUAGGCUGAGGGAGAUGCUGCAGGGGAUGUCAGUUCCAGGGGCACUAGGUGGGGAGACGGUUUCAUUGUCGGCUUAUUUUGUAUUUUUCCUUUAUUUAACUAGGCAAGUCAGUUAAGAACAAAUUCUUAUUUACAAUGACGGCCUAGGAACAGUGGGUUAACUGCCUUGUUCAGGGGCAGAUCGACAGAUUUGUACCUUGUCAGCUCAGGGAUUUGGUUUAGAAACAUUUCGGUUUCUGGCCCAACACUCUAACCACUAGGCUACCUGCUGCUAUUCUGAUGAUGUAACAGUGUUUGUUAGAGGGGAGGAAGAUGUAGACGAGGUUAGCAGGGCUUUAGUGUUGUUUGAGGGUGCGGCAUCAGCUAAGGUGAACUGAGGUUGGCUGUGAACCUAUAUGUUGCAGGGCCUCAGUAUACUGUAGCCAAAUGAAAUGUUAAAAUUAAAUAAUGUUUGUUUUAAUGAUGUACAGUAAAUAUUUGAGCUAAAUAAAGUUGAUGUAUUUUUGAA